GAUGAACGCUGGCGGCGUGCCUAACACAUGCAAGUCGAACGAAGCACCUUACCUGAUUCUUCGGAUGAAAGUUUGGUGACUGAGUGGCGGACGGGUGAGUAACGCGUGGGUAACCUGCCCUGUACAGGGGGAUAACAGCUGGAAACGGCUGCUAAUACCGCAUAAGCGCACGAGGAGACAUCUCCUUGUGUGAAAAACUCCGGUGGUACAUGAUGGGCCCGCGUCUGAUUAGCUGGUUGGCAGGGUAACGGCCUACCAAGGCAACGAUCAGUAGCCGGUCUGAGAGGAUGAACGGCCACAUUGGAACUGAGACACGGUCCAAACUCCUACGGGAGGCAGCAGUGGGGAAUAUUGCACAAUGGGGGAAACCCUGAUGCAGCAACGCCGCGUGAGUGAAGAAGUAUUUCGGUAUGUAAAGCUCUAUCAGCAGGGAAGAUAAUGACGGUACCUGACUAAGAAGCUCCGGCUAAAUACGUG
RNAcentral lists this ribosomal RNA (477 nucleotides) under uncultured bacterium. RNAcentral describes it as "partial 16S ribosomal RNA". It matches the Rfam family "Bacterial small subunit ribosomal RNA", at positions 28 to 507 of the family's 1533-position model. The record is from RNAcentral.